GCGGUGCUUCCGCCUAGCAACGCGAGUGUUGCGGGCGUCGCUAAGGAGGGGAAGCCGCCGGUUCCGGACAUGGCGGAGCAAGCGCUGGGCGUGCGGGGCCGCGGCGCCCGGAUCAGAGAGAAGCCAAACAAAUUCCUGAGCAGCACCCAGAAAACUACUACUACUCACCAUCUGAGCCUCAAAGGACUGGAAAAGAGCCAGACACUGCACAGCAACUGGGAAGGAACUUCAUUAUUUAAAAAACAAACUGAUACUAGCUUGUCCCCAUAUAUAGAGAAGAGUCCCAGCAUUGACGACUUAGAAGAAAGUUUGCGGAAACUUAAAGUUCAGGUGGACAGCUUGGCCUCGAGUCUGAGUUUUGACCCUCAUCAAGAUUAUGCCAUAGACUCUAGCGCUACAGUCAACUUGAGCACCUUUAAUUCUGCAUGGCCAAGAGUUCCUAAUGGGACCUAUGCAGAGGCAGACAUCGGAGAUUCACCAAAGCCAUCUGCAGAGUCUGAGUGGUUUCUGAACCCAAGACAUCUAGUCAAACCACUGGGAGAGUAUCCAGCGCUAACAAGCUUGGGCCUUCCGACAUUCUCCACAUCACCCAUCAACCGUGUGCCAGGGCUCCUGGGGAGUGAGAUUGCAAGUCAGAACUAUGUGCCGUCACUGGAUCUUGCACAUACAGAGUCUUUCCCAGUGAAGCUUGGUGCUCCUCAUGUGAUUGGAGUCAGGUCAUUGUUGCCCCCUAAAAUCCCAGUGCAGGAUCGCUCUCCUGAAAGGUCCCUCUCCCUUGAUCGUUCUGGAACCAACCGAUCCCGUUCAUUCUCUCCGGCUCCCAAAAGAACCCGGUGGCUAAGGUCUCGCUCACAGUCACCUAGACCCAUCUGGAGACCAAAUUCUGCUAAGGCAAAUGCCUGUGCCCAGCCUCCACCACACUUUGGCAGGUCUAGGUACAGCAGAAAGAAAACAGCUUCAACCAGACAAUCACGAUCCAGAAUAUACAAACCAGGAGCCCUGGCUGCUAGGUCCUGUACUCCAGCCAGGAUGAAUACAAGGGGACCACUGAGCUAUUCUUGGAGCCCUUACAGUCUGCCUUCCACUGCUGUAUCCUCACCAACAGCUCAGGAGAUUAAUGAACGGUAUGAGAUGAAAAACUCCCAGUUUCAUUAUGAAGCCCACAAGAAUAAUGAGUUGCUGAGGAACAGCCAGGACUUGCAGUCUGUCUAUAACUAUAGGCAGGAACUGGCAUCCAUGUCCAAGGAAUUCCAGCAGCAUUUGAAACCUGCUCACCUGCACUCUCUCUGGGAAGAGCUCUAACUAACCUGUGCUGGUAGGAGGUGCAAUCAGAGACGCCAGCCUGUGAAUUCUGGGAGGCCCUUGUGCUGUGCUUAAUGAAGAGGAAACAAGAUGGUGGAGAGGGGAAUUCUUUAGACCCACUAGCCUAUGGGCCAGUUCCACUCCAGUGCAUCUUCACUGCCUUCAGUGCUGAAGUUAGUCAGUUAUUAUUUACGAUAAUAAGCCAAAUCACUACUGCUAUUAUUCACCUCUGUGCCAAGAGCCAGCAGAAAAUCUACAUGCUGGCCUUCCGCACGGGGGGAAUUUUACCCUGUGAGGAGCUAUCCCUAAUCAACUUACUUGCAGUAUAAAAGAGCCUUUUACUGAAGUGGAGGGGAAAGGAUUGAGGCAAGGGGAAAGUUAAGGGAACAAAUCUAUGGAAUGAUUAUAAUGAGGACCUCAGAAACAGCCCUAAAGCCCUAUUUGUCAGAUCCUGCAGCUUGAGAUGAUGAAAAACUCAGAAUACGGCAUUGAUGGGGUUGGACACAUGGAUAAAUAGCAUCAUGGCAUUUGUUCAGCCUUUCCACUUAUGGUGUCCUUUCUUUUCAGCACUUGCUUCCUUCAAAGUGCAGUUUGAGUGACUCCUUGCUCUUUUUUGCAGUUUCCUUCAUUUUUUCUUUAAUCCCUUCUGUAGUUAGCUGCUGGCAAGUAGAGCAUUCUAAAAGCAGCAAGCUGCCCAGGUUCAGCUGCAAACAAAAGCCGCACACAUUCCUGCAGCUACUAACAGAUGUUCUGUGCUGCAUCAUCCCAAGGUGCAAUGCAGAGCAUUCUGGAAGCCAAAACAAUGGCAGGUUGGUUUGUUUUGAAGAUGUUAGCCUGCAGUGUCCAUUAUUUCCACAGUUUACAAGCAAACAGCCCAGGGACGAUCCAUCUCUGUUCCCUAAACAAUAUAAUGAAUUCUACUUCAACAAAUUUCUAAUUCACAUUUUAAAUUUUCCAGCAGAGGCCUCAGAAUAUAUUGAUUGUUUUAAUAAAACUCUGUUUCCAGUGAUCA
Molecule: long non-coding RNA, 2314 nt
Organism: Gopherus agassizii (Agassiz's desert tortoise)
Lineage: Eukaryota; Metazoa; Chordata; Testudines; Testudinidae
Source: Ensembl